CACGCCGUAAACGAUGAGUGCUAGGUGUUGGGGGUCAAACCUCGGUGCCGCAGUUAACACAUUAAGCACUCCGCCUGGGGAGUACGUGCGCAAGCAUGAAACUCAAAGGAAUUGACGGGGACCCGCACAAGCAGCGGAGCAUGUGGUUUAAUUCGAAGCAACGCGAAGAACCUUACCAGGUCUUGACAUCCUUUGCACGUUUUAGAGAUAGAACAUUCCCUUCGGGGACAAAGAGACAGGUGG
This 243-nucleotide ribosomal RNA is filed under the name uncultured Eubacteriales bacterium. RNAcentral describes it as "uncultured Clostridiales bacterium partial 16S ribosomal RNA". It matches the Rfam family "Bacterial small subunit ribosomal RNA", at positions 796 to 1041 of the family's 1533-position model. Lineage: Bacteria; Bacillati; Bacillota; Clostridia; Eubacteriales. The record is from RNAcentral.